UACGGUGGGAGCUAGCGUUGGUCGGAAUUGCUGGGCGUAAAGGGCGCGUAGGUGGCCAAGUCAGUUAGGUGCGAAAGGCUACAGCUCAACUGUAGUUAUGCAUUUAAGACUGCUUUGGCUUGAGUAUAGGAGAGGAAGGUGGAAUUCCCAGUGUAGCGGUGAAAUGCGUAGAUAUUGGGAGGAACACCGGUGGCGAAGGCGGACUUCUGGACUAAUACUGACACUGAGGCGCGAAAGCUAGGGGAGCGAACGGG
This 254-nucleotide ribosomal RNA is filed under the name uncultured bacterium. RNAcentral describes it as "partial 16S ribosomal RNA". It matches the Rfam family "Bacterial small subunit ribosomal RNA", at positions 524 to 776 of the family's 1533-position model. The record is from RNAcentral.